AUUUGGAUUUCAUUCCCUUUUGAGAAAACCAGGGAACAGUAGUAGUAGUCAAUGAAUAAAGAAUCAUCUACCCUGUGUAAUGUGCAAUGUGCAAUGCUUCUGGGGAUUCAACGAAAAUUGAACAUGCUAAAAGUCCCAACGACAAGCAAUCGCGCAGGAAACAAAAGCACCACAAGCAAGUGCAUGUGCUGUGAUGCAACUAGUGUACUGAAUCGUUUCAACGACUCUUUCCCACUUUGUAAGAUGCCAGCAAAGUUUAUCUGGCCAUGUCCCAUACUACCUGAUUCGACGUACCUUCUAACAACAAUACCAGCAUUAACCCCACUUGGUGAAACCAAUGGCCACCAAACUCUGCGCCUUUGCUUCCUCUUAGCUUUUCUGAUGUUGUUCAGCUCAUG
RNAcentral lists this unclassified non-coding RNA (398 nucleotides) under Hevea brasiliensis (rubber tree). Lineage: Eukaryota; Viridiplantae; Streptophyta; Magnoliopsida; Malpighiales; Euphorbiaceae. The record is from RNAcentral.